Molecule: ribosomal RNA, 478 nt
Filed under: uncultured bacterium
Lineage: Bacteria
Description: partial 16S ribosomal RNA
Rfam family: Bacterial small subunit ribosomal RNA
Source: RNAcentral
GACGAACGCUGGCGGCGUGCUUAACACAUGCAAGUCGAACGGGAUCUAGUAGACAGAAGCCUCGGCUAAAGAUUACUAAUGAGAGUGGCGAACGGGUGAGUAACGCGUGAGCAACCUGCCUAUGACAGUGGGAUAGCCUCGGGAAACCGGGAUUAAUACCGCAUAAAAUCGUAGAAACACAUGUUUUAACGGUCAAAGAUUUAUCGGUCAUAGAUGGGCUCGCGUCUGAUUAGCUAGUUGGCGAGAUAACAGCCCACCAAGGCGACGAUCAGUAGCCGGUCUGAGAGGAUGAACGGCCACAUUGGAACUGAGACACGGUCCAAACUCCUACGGGAGGCAGCAGUGGGGAAUAUUGCACAAUGGGGGAAACCCUGAUGCAGCGACGCCGCGUGAACGAAGAAGGUAUUCGUAUCGUAAAGUUCUGUCCUAUGGGAAGAUAAUGACAGUACCAUAGAAGAAAGCUCCGGCUAAAUACGUG